This 558-nucleotide long non-coding RNA is filed under the name Homo sapiens (human). Its description in RNAcentral is "non-protein coding lnc-CYFIP1-2:1". Lineage: Eukaryota; Metazoa; Chordata; Mammalia; Primates; Hominidae. The record is from RNAcentral.
UGAUAAAAUAAGAGAAAAGGAAACAUGGCAGAAUGUGUCUUUUCUUAAUGUCCAACUCCAAGAAGCAGUAGGACAGCGUUAUCCUGAAGAUAGUUCACGUCUAUCUAUAUCUUUUGAAAAUGUUGACACAGCUAAGAAGAAGCUGCCUGUUCAUAUCUUAGAUGGUCUGACCCUCAGCUACAAGGUCCCAUGGCCCGUGGACAUUGUUAUAAGUUUGGAAUGUCAAAAAAUUUAUAAUCAAGUGUUUCUUCUCUUAUUGCAAAUAAAGUGGGCAAAAUAUAGUCUGGAUGUUUUACUUUUUGGUGGUAAGAUUUGUUUUCAGCAGAUAAAUUGUAAUUUUAUUUAAUUUUAGCCCUUAAUAAAAGAGGUUAAUGGGAAAGGGAAGCAUACGGGGAUCUGGAAAAAAAAAAAAAGUUGGUGGUUGUUGAUCAUUUUUUAUGUGUACACAAAUGCCAAAAUGGUGCGUAUUCUAGCAGUAGUUUUAUGGACAUCAAAUGCCUGAAAGAAAGAUCAGGAAGUUGUAUGUACAGUUGAUCUGAAAUGCAACAACUUGAUUAG